This is a long non-coding RNA of Coregonus clupeaformis (lake whitefish), 524 nucleotides long. RefSeq lists it as uncharacterized. The record is from RefSeq and is a predicted model, not a curated record. NCBI's taxonomy places the organism in Eukaryota, Metazoa, Chordata, Actinopteri, Salmoniformes, Salmonidae. The transcript has 6 exons.
GCACUAUCGAGUGUAUUUGUUGUUUCUUCUGAGAAAGACCUUGUUUCAUAUUUUGAAGGGACAAAAUUAAUUUCAACAAAAAGAUGCAAAAACGUUAUACUGUUCUGUGUGCGUUUCUUAUCCUCUUAGGACAACUGUCUGAAUCCAGUGGAAUGGCAUUAAUGGGUCCAGAAAGGAGAGGUUGGACUCUGAAUAGUGCAGGAUACCUACUUGGGCCUUAUGCACAACGAACGCUGACUGUGAGACAUAGACCCCUACUGGGCAAAAAGAGUGUUUGGGAAGAUGAUAUGAAACCAUUCCAAAACAGUGAAUACAAGUCUGUCAUCGAUGACGCCUUUGUUCAAGCUUUUCUGGACAUCAUUACUUACUUACGUCUGAAAGAGAUUGGAGCGAUGGAGGAUUUGAGCACCCAUUAUCUUGCGGAAACGAAGUCAUAAUAAGAAAUCACUACACCUCUCCUAUUGUCAAAACAUUAUUUUCCACCUCCACCUGUUCCUAUGGUAUUCAACUGCUUUUUCAAUGGU